This 22-nucleotide non-coding RNA is filed under the name Arabidopsis thaliana (thale cress). The record is from RNAcentral. Lineage: Eukaryota; Viridiplantae; Streptophyta; Magnoliopsida; Brassicales; Brassicaceae.
AAGGAAUAAAGAUUGGUUUUGG